Molecule: ribosomal RNA, 518 nt
Filed under: uncultured bacterium
Lineage: Bacteria
Description: bacterial SSU rRNA
Rfam family: Bacterial small subunit ribosomal RNA
Source: RNAcentral
AGAGUUUGAUUCUGGCUCAGGAUGAACGCUAGCUACAGGCUUAACACAUGCAAGUCGAGGGGCAGCAUUAGAUUAGCUUGCUAAUUAGAUGGCGACCGGCGCACGGGUGAGUAACGCGUAUCCAACCUUCCCCCUGCUCAGGGAUAGCCCGGUGAAAACCGGAUUAAGACCUGAUAGUUUCACUAGAUGGCAUCUGACGGUGAAUAAAGGUUUCGGCAAGGGAUGGGGAUGCGUCUGAUUAGCUUGUUGGCGGGGUAACGGCCCACCAAGGCGACGAUCAGUAGGGGUUCUGAGAGGAAGGUCCCCCACAUUGGAACUGAGACACGGUCCAAACUCCUACGGGAGGCAGCAGUGAGGAAUAUUGGUCAAUGGGCGGAAGCCUGAACCAGCCAAGUAGCGUGCAGGAAGACGGCCCUAUGGGUUGUAAACUGCUUUUGUGCGGGAAUAAAGUCAGGGACGCGUCCCUGUUUGCAUGUACCGCAAGAAUAAGGACCGGCUAAUUCCGUGCCAGCAGCCGC